AUACUGCAGGAACGUUGUUGGGAACGAGGUGGGAAUACUGCAGGAACGUUGUUGGGAACGAGGUGGGAAUACUGCAGGAACGUUGUUGGGAACGAGGUGGGAAUACUGCAGGAACGUUGUUGGGAACGAGGUGGGAAUACUGCAGGAACGUUGUCGGGAACGAGGUGGGAAUACUACAGGAACGUUGUUGGGAACGAGGUGGGAAUACUGCAGGAACGUUGUUGGGAACGAGGUGGGAAUACUGCAGGAACGUUGUUGGGAACGAGGUGGGAAUACUGCAGGAACGUUGUUGGGAACGAGGUGGGAAUACUGCAGGAACGUUGUUGGGAACGAGGUGGGAAUACUGCAGGAACGUUGUUGGGAACGAGGUGGGAAUACUGCAGGAACGUUGUCGGGAACGAGGUGGGAAUACUGCAGGAACGUUGUUGGGAACGAGGUGGGAAUACUGCAGGAACGUUGUCGGGAACGAGGUGGGAAUACUGCAGGAACGUUGUUGGGAACGAGGUGGGAAUACUGCAGGAACGUUGUCGGGAACGAGGUGGGAAUAC
Molecule: long non-coding RNA, 548 nt
Organism: Oncorhynchus keta (chum salmon)
Lineage: Eukaryota; Metazoa; Chordata; Actinopteri; Salmoniformes; Salmonidae
Exons: 3
Source: RefSeq, a predicted model, not a curated record